GGCAGCUUAACACAUGCAAGUCGAGCGGUAACAGAGAUAGCUUGCUAUCUGCUGACGAGCGGCGGACGGGUGAGUAAUGCUUGGGAAUAUGCCUUUGAGUGGGGGACAACAGUUGGAAACGACUGCUAAUACCGCAUAACGUCUACGGACCAAAGGGGGGGAUGCUUCGGCACCUCUCGCUCAUUGAUUAGCCCAAGUGAGAUUAGCUAGUUGGUAAGGUAAUGGCUUACCAAGGCGACGAUCUCUAGCUGGUUUGAGAGGAUGAUCAGCCACACUGGGACUGAGACACGACCCAGACUCCUACGGGAGGCAGCAGUGGGGAAUAUUGCACAAUGGGCGAAAGCCUGAUGCAGCCAUGCCGCGUGUGUGAAGAAGGCCUUCGGGUUGUAAAGCACUUUCAGCGAGGAGGAAAGGUUAGUAGUUAAUAGCUGCUAGCUGUGACGUUACUCGCAGAAGAAGCACCGGCUAACUUCGUGCCAGCAGCCGCGGUAAUACGAGGGGUGCAAGCGUUAAUCGGAAUUACUGGGCGUAAAGCGUGCGUAGGUGGUUUGUUAAGCAAGAUGUGAAAGCCCCGGGCUCAACCUGGGAACUGCAUUUUGAA
This 601-nucleotide ribosomal RNA is filed under the name uncultured bacterium. Its description in RNAcentral is "bacterial SSU rRNA". It matches the Rfam family "Bacterial small subunit ribosomal RNA", at positions 41 to 632 of the family's 1533-position model. The record is from RNAcentral.